UGAAUACGAGACGCUAAGGCGUUGAAGUAGUGUAUGUCAUACUUCCAAGAAAAGCUUGCACUGUCAUAGAUAAAAAACGCCUGUACCAUAACCGACACAGGUGGGUAGGUAGAGUAUACUAAGGGGCGCGAGAUAACUCUCUCUAAGGAACUCGGCAAAAUAACUCCGUAACUUCGGGAGAAGGAGUGCCUUAUUUAUAAGGCUGCAAUAACAAGAUCCAAGCAACUGUUUAUCAAAAACACAGGUCUCCGCUAAGUCGUAAGACGAUGUAUGGGGGCUGACGCCUGCCCAGUGCCAGAAGGUUAAAGAAGUUGGUUAGCAAUAGCGAAGCUGAUAACUGAAGCCCUGGUGAACGGCGGCCGUAACAAUAACGGUCCUAAGGUAGCGAAAUUCCUUGUCGGGUAAGUUCCGACCCGCACGAAAGGCGUAAUGAUUUGGAUACUGUCUCGGAGAGGGGCUCGGUGAAAUAGACUUGUCUGUGAAGAUGCGGACUACCUGCACCAGGACAGAAAGACCCUAUGAAGCUUUACUGUAACUUGAAAUUGAAAUUGGACUUUAUUCGCGCAGUAUAGGUGGGAGGCGUUGAUUGUAAUCUUGCGGGAUUAUUGGAGCCAUCAGUGAGAUACCACCCUUGUAAUGUUAGAUUUCUAACUUUGAAUCAUUAUCUGGUCAAAGAACAGUUUCAGGCGGGCAGUUUGACUGGGGCGGUCGCCUCCUAAACGGUAACGGAGGCGUACAAAGGUUUCCUCUGAACGGUUAGAAAUCGUAUCUAGAGUGUAAAGGCAUAAGGAAGCUUGACUGUGAGACCUACAAGUCGAGCAGGGACGAAAGUCGGUCUUAGUGAUCUGACGGUACUGAGUGGAAAGGCCGUCACUCAACGGAUAAAAGUUACUCUAGGGAUAACAGGCUGAUCUCCCCCAAGAGUUCACAUCGACGGGGAGGUUUGGCACCUUGAUGUCGGCUCAUCGCAUCCUGGGGCGGUAGUACGUCCCAAGGGUUGGGCUGUUCGCCCAUGAAAGCGGUACGCGAGCUGGGUUCAGAACGUCGUGAGACAGUUCGGUCCAUAUCCGGUGUAGGCGUUAGAGUAUUGAGAGGAGCCUUCUUUAGUACGAGAGGACCGAGAAGGACAUACCUCUGGUGUACCAGUUAUCAUGCCAACGGUAAACGCUGGGUAGCUAUGUAUGGAGUGGAUAACCGCUGAAAGCAUCUAAGUGGGAAGCCCACCUCAAGAUAAGUAUUCUC
RNAcentral lists this ribosomal RNA (1242 nucleotides) under metagenome. RNAcentral's name for it is "bacterial LSU rRNA". It matches the Rfam family "Bacterial large subunit ribosomal RNA", at positions 1564 to 2815 of the family's 2925-position model. The record is from RNAcentral.